Potamilus streckersoni is the source of this 74-nucleotide non-coding RNA. The record is from the annotation of a GenBank genome assembly. Lineage: Eukaryota; Metazoa; Mollusca; Bivalvia; Unionida; Unionidae.
UGCUACGGUGACCUAGUGGUUAGGGCGUCAGUCUCAGAUGUGGGAACUCGCGGGUUCGAACCCCGACCGAGCCA